Long non-coding RNA from Scatophagus argus, 414 nucleotides. RefSeq lists it as uncharacterized. NCBI's taxonomy places the organism in Eukaryota, Metazoa, Chordata, Actinopteri, Scatophagidae. The record is from RefSeq and is a predicted model, not a curated record. The transcript has 3 exons.
CAGCAGUGAGUGUAUGAGCUGCUGGUCAGCGAGGCUCCAAACCGCCACCACGCCGUCAUCUGAACCUGCAACCAGAAGCUCCGCCUCCACACCGACAUCCACGCAGAGAACACCUGAAGACAUGACGACAGGAAGACUCACGAUGAAAGCUGGCCCGGCUGAAACCUUCUUGCAGUUCCUGAUCUCCUGCAGGAAGAUCUCACAGGCCUCAUGGUCUCCAGAUGAGAUGUUUCGAAUCCCCCAGCGCAGAUCCACAACCUAAACAGGCAGUGACCUCGCUGAUCAAUAAGCAGGGUGAGUUAAGGUGUACUGACCUGUGAACGUGGAGCUGAUGAACACUCGGAUCACGUUGGAUCUGGUCUUCAUGCUCCGAGCUCCAUCUGUCCGUCCUCUCAGGACGUCCUGCAAGCUGAC